Molecule: small nuclear RNA, 110 nt
Organism: Trichosurus vulpecula (common brushtail)
Lineage: Eukaryota; Metazoa; Chordata; Mammalia; Diprotodontia; Phalangeridae
Source: RefSeq, a predicted model, not a curated record
GUGCUUGUUGGCAGCACAUGUUAUAAAAUUGGAAUGGUGCAGAAAAAAAAAAUUAGUACGACCCCUGUGCAAGAAUGACAUGCAAAUACAUAAAAGUGUUCUAUAUUUCU